RNAcentral lists this ribosomal RNA (499 nucleotides) under uncultured bacterium. Its description in RNAcentral is "bacterial SSU rRNA". It matches the Rfam family "Bacterial small subunit ribosomal RNA", at positions 8 to 518 of the family's 1533-position model. The record is from RNAcentral.
AGAGUUUGAUUCUGGCUCAGGACGAACGCUGGCGGCACGCCUAACACAUGCAAGUCGAACGGAGUUAGCAAGAAGUUACUUGAGCUAACUUAGUGGCGGACGGGUGAGUAACACGUGAGUAACCUGCCUUUCAGUGGGGAAUAACGGCUGGAAACGGUCGCUAAUACCGCAUAACGUCUUGGAGUCGCAUGACCCUGAGACCAAAGAUUUAUCGCUGAAAGAUGGACUCGCGCCCGAUUAGCUAGUUGGUGAGGUAAUGGCUCACCAAGGCGACGAUCGGUAGCCGGACUGAGAGGUUGAACGGCCACAUUGGGACUGAGACACGGCCCAGACUCCUACGGGAGGCAGCAGUGGGGGAUAUUGCACAAUGGGGGAAACCCUGAUGCAAGCGAUGCCGCGUGUAGGAAGACGGUCCUCUGGAUUGUAAACUACUGUCUUCAGGGACGAUAAUGACGGUACCUGAGGAGGAAGCUCCGGCUAACUACGUGCCAGCCGCGGC